This 1525-nucleotide ribosomal RNA is filed under the name uncultured bacterium. Its description in RNAcentral is "bacterial SSU rRNA". It matches the Rfam family "Bacterial small subunit ribosomal RNA". The record is from RNAcentral.
GAGUUUGAUCAUGGCUCAGGACGAACGCUGGCGGCAUGCCUAACACAUGCAAGUCGAACGGACCGAUAGAGAUUAGCUUGCUAAUUUCUUGAAGUUAGUGGCGGACGGGUGAGUAACGCGUGGGUAACCUGCCCAUAAGACGGGGAUAACUCCGGGAAACCGGGGCUAAUACCGGAUAAGCUUCAGAGAUCACAUGAUCAUUGAAGUAAAGGUGGCCUCUUAACAAUGCUAUCGCUUAUGGAUGGACCCGCGUCUGAUUAGCUAGUUGGUAAGGUAACGGCUUACCAAGGCGACGAUCAGUAGCCGGCCUGAGAGGGUGAACGGCCACACUGGGACUGAGACACGGCCCAGACUCCUGCGGGAGGCAGCAGUGGGGAAUCUUCCGCAAUGGGCGAAAGCCUGACGGAGCAAUGCCGCGUGAGUGAAGAAGGCCUUCGGGUUGUAAAACUCCGUCCUAAUGGAAGAAAGGUCAUAGUGUGAAUAAUGCUAUGAAUUGACGGUACAUUGGGAGGAAGCCCCGGCUAACUACGUGCCAGCAGCCGCGGUAAUACGUAGGGGGCGAGCGUUGUCCGGAAUCACUGGGCGUAAAGCGCGCGUAGGCGGAUAUUUAAGUCAGAUGUGAAAACUUUGGGCUCAACCUAGAGACUGCAUCUGAUACUGGAUAUCUUGAGUGCAGGAGAGGAGAGUGGAAUUCCUAGUGUAGCGGUGAAAUGCGUAGAUAUUAGGAGGAACACCAGUGGCGAAGGCGACUCUCUGNACUGUAACUGACGCUGAGGCGCGAAAGCGUGGGGAGCGAACAGGAUUAGAUACCCUGGUAGUCACGCCGUAAACGAUGGGUACUAGGUGUUGGGGCGUCAAAACCUCAGUGCCGCAGUUAACACAUUAAGUACCCCGCCUGGGGAGUACGGUCGCAAGACUGAAACUCAAAGGAAUUGACGGGGGCCCGCACAAGCGGUGGAGCAUGUGGUUUAAUUCGACGCAACGCGAAGAACCUUACCAAGACUUGACAUCCCUCUGACGUCUCUUUAAUCGGAGAUUUUCUUCGGAACAGAGGUGACAGGUGGUGCAUGGUUGUCGUCAGCUCGUGUCGUGAGAUGUUGGGUUAAGUCCCGCAACGAGCGCAACCCUUACUUCUAGUUGCCAGCAUUAAGUUGGGCACUCUAGAGGGACUGCCGGUGACAAACCGGAGGAAGGUGGGGAUGACGUCAAAUCAUCAUGCCCCUUAUGUCUUGGGCUACACACGUGCUACAAUGGACAGUACAAAGGGCAGCGAAGCCGCGAGGUGAAGCGAAUCCCAAAAAGCUGUUCUCAGUUCGGAUUGCAGGCUGCAACUCGCCUGCAUGGAGUCGGAAUCGCUAGUAAUCGCAGGUCAGCAUACUGCGGUGAAUACGUUCCCGGGCCUUGUACACACCGCCCGUCACACCACGAAAGUUGGUAACACCCGAAGCCGGUGAUCUAACCUUAGGGAGGAAGCCGUCGAAGGUGGGACCAAUGAUUGGGGUGAAGUCGUAACAAGGUAGCCGUA